GACGGGGGAUGCAAGCGGUAUACGGAAUCACUGGGCGUAAAGCGUCUGUAGGUGGUGAUGCAAGUCACUGGUGCAAAACUCUGGCUCAACCGGAGGAAAGCCAGUGAAACUGCAUGACUAGAGUGUGGGAGAGGUAGAAGGAAUUCCCUGAGUAGCGGUGAAAUGCGUAGAUACAGGGAAGAACACCGGAGGCGAAAGCGUUCUACUGGAACACAACUGACACUGAGAGACGAAAGCUAGGGGAGCGAAGGGG
Molecule: ribosomal RNA, 253 nt
Filed under: uncultured bacterium
Lineage: Bacteria
Description: partial 16S ribosomal RNA
Rfam family: Bacterial small subunit ribosomal RNA
Source: RNAcentral